UACUGGAGGAAGGUGGGGAUGACGUCAAGUCAUCAUGGCCCUUACGACCAGGGCUACACACGUGCUACAAUGGGUAUUACAGAGGGCUGCGAAGGUGCGAGCUGGAGCGAAACUCAGAAAGGUACUCUUAGUCCGGAUUGCAGUCUGCAACUCGACUGCAUGAAGUCGGAAUCGCUAGUAAUCGCAGGUCAGAAUACUGCGGUGAAUACGUUCCCGGGUCUUGUACACACCGCCCGUCACACCAUGGGAGUGGGUUGCUCCAGAAGUAGAUAGCUUAACGAAUGGGCGUUUACCACGGAGUGAUUCAUGACUGGGGUGAAGUCGUACAAGGGAUCGCAUUUCG
RNAcentral lists this ribosomal RNA (343 nucleotides) under Francisella sp. Its description in RNAcentral is "bacterial SSU rRNA". It matches the Rfam family "Bacterial small subunit ribosomal RNA", at positions 1161 to 1533 of the family's 1533-position model. The record is from RNAcentral. Lineage: Bacteria; Pseudomonadati; Pseudomonadota; Gammaproteobacteria; Thiotrichales; Francisellaceae.